UACGAAGGGUGCAAACGUUGCUCGGAAUUAUUGGGCGUAAAGCGCACGUAGGCGGCUUUGCAAGUCCCAUGUGAAAUCCCACGGCUCAACCGUGGAAGUGCAUGGGAAACUGCAGAGCUUGAGUACUUAAGAGGAUCGCGGAAUUCCCGGUGUAGAGGUGAAAUUCGUAGAUAUCGGGAGGAACACCAGUGGCGAAGGCGGCGAUCUGGGUCGAUACUGACGCUGAGGAGCGAAAGCAUGGGGAGCGAACAGG
RNAcentral lists this ribosomal RNA (253 nucleotides) under uncultured bacterium. Its description in RNAcentral is "partial 16S ribosomal RNA". It matches the Rfam family "Bacterial small subunit ribosomal RNA", at positions 524 to 776 of the family's 1533-position model. The record is from RNAcentral.